This 408-nucleotide ribosomal RNA is filed under the name uncultured Alphaproteobacteria bacterium. RNAcentral's name for it is "bacterial SSU rRNA". It matches the Rfam family "Bacterial small subunit ribosomal RNA", at positions 39 to 487 of the family's 1533-position model. The record is from RNAcentral. Lineage: Bacteria; Pseudomonadati; Pseudomonadota; Alphaproteobacteria.
ACUGCGGCAGGCUUAACACAUGCAAGUCGAACGGUCCUAGCAAUACAGCAGUGGCAGACGGGUGAGUAACACGUGGGAACCUUCCUAGGGGUACGGAACAACUCAGGGAACCUUGAGCUAAUACUAGUAUACGUCCGUGAGGAGAAACAUUUAUCGCCCUUAGACGGGCCCGCGUCGGAUUAGCUAGUUGGUGGGGUAACGGCCUACCAAGGCGACGAUCCGUAGCUGAUCUUAGAGGAUGAUCAGCCACACUGGGACUGAGACACGGCCCAGACUCCUACGGGAGGCAGCAGUGGGGAAUCUUGGACAAUGGGCGCAAGCCUGAUCCAGCCAUGCCGCGUGAGUGAAGAAGGUCUUCGGAUUGUAAAGCUCUUUUACCAGGGACGAUAAUGACGGUACCUGGAGAGA